GGAAGAUCUCCUCUCAAACCUUUCCAGUUUGCCCAGAGUGCUCAUUUCCCAUCCCUUGGAAAACCUGAAGUGUGGUCUUUAGAGCCGACCAGAUGUGACAGGAUGGUCAGAGAUGCUCUGGGAGAUUUCAUGAGCUGCUCUAGGAACUCUCCAGCUGUUUCCUCCCUUUGGACUGACAGCAAACUACUGGAAAGCAUUGCCAGCAUCUCUGUGGCUCCUUCAAUCCCCAAAGAUCUUCACAAACCAGAGCUUGCCUCUAGGAAGUCAGCACAGCCCCAUGGCUGCAGGUCUGGAAAUGCCUAAAUUCAGUUUCUUGCUCUGCCAUAUUCUUUCCAUCAGACUCUGAGUAUUCAUCAUUAGUUCUCUUCAUUCCUUCAGUGAAUUGAAUUUAAUUAUGGAAGAGGUCAUGCAACUCACUUCACUUCCAAGAAACAGAUGCUGACAAAACCACAUGGGUCAGUGAAGAGAUUGUGAAUGCCAUUCACAUCCACACAGAGGAAACACACGGAAUGAAAAUGCAUCUCCCUGUUUUCUUCCAAUAUUUGUGCUCCAGGCUUGAGAUGGUUUAAGAGAUUAAGGACAGGAUAUGGAAGAUUUCAGCAGAGGGAAGCUUUUGAAAUCAGCUGUGGCUCUCAGCAAACGAAGAGGCUGCUGUAUGUUCAAUAAAACUGUGUGGGCAUCUCAGUCUAAUUUAUGGGCAUGCACAUGUAAGGCUGCUCCUUCAUGGCCCAACUGAUUGCAUUCAGCAAGAUCAGAGCAAAUUUCUCUAUAUAGUGGCAUCAAAAUUCGAACCAGGCUUUGAUUUAUGCCAUUGGAAAAUCACUCUACUCAUCCCUGUGCUGGACUAUUGGCCAGUG
Molecule: long non-coding RNA, 857 nt
Organism: Ficedula albicollis (Collared flycatcher)
Lineage: Eukaryota; Metazoa; Chordata; Aves; Passeriformes; Muscicapidae
Exons: 4
Source: RefSeq, a predicted model, not a curated record